This 433-nucleotide ribosomal RNA is filed under the name uncultured bacterium. RNAcentral describes it as "partial 16S ribosomal RNA". It matches the Rfam family "Bacterial small subunit ribosomal RNA", at positions 28 to 507 of the family's 1533-position model. The record is from RNAcentral.
GACGAACGCUGGCGGCAUGCCUAACACAUGCAAGUCGAACGAGAAGGUCGGGCUUAGUGGCGACCGGGUGCGUAAAGCGGGGGGGAAUGCCCUUAGGAUCGGAAUAACUCUCCGGAAGGGGUGCUGAUACCGGAGACUAACUCCGGACCGAAGAGUUGUCGCCUUUGGAUGGGGCCGAGUUGGAUUAGCUUGUUGGUAGGGUAAACGCCUACAACGGCGACGUGCCGUAGCUGGUCUGAGAGGCUGAUCAGCCACACUGGGACUGGGACACGGCCCCGACUCCUGCGGGAGGCGGCAAUGGUUAAUAUAGGACCAUGGGCGUGAUGCUGAUCCAGCGCGUCCGCGAUAGCGAUGAUGGCCUUGUGGUUUUAAUGCGCUAUUACCCGGGCUGAUAAUGACAGUACCUGGAUAAUAAGCUCCGGCUAACUCCGUG